GAUGAACGCUAGCGGCAGGCCUAAUACAUGCAAGUCGGACGGGAUUCAGGAGCUUGCUUCUGAUGAGAGUGGCGCACGGGUGCGUAACACGUAUGUAACCUACCUUUAUCAGGGGGAUAGCCUCUCGAAAGAGAGAUUAAGCCCGCAUAAAAUCACAGCACAGCAUUGUGUAAUGAUCAAAUAUUUAUAGGAUAAAGAUGGGCAUGCGGAACAUUAGCUAGAUGGCGGGGUAACGGCCCACCAUGGCGACGAUGUUUAGGGGAUCUGAGAGGAUGGCCCCCCACACUGGUACUGAGACACGGACCAGACUCCUACGGGAGGCAGCAGUAAGGAAUAUUGGUCAAGGGGCGGAAGCCUGAACCAGCCGUGCCGCGUGCAGGAAGACGGCCCUACGGGUUGUAAACUGCUUUUAUACGGGAAUAAACCCAGAUACGUGUAUCUGGCUGAAUGUACUGUAAGAAUAAGGAUCGGCUAACUCCGUG
Molecule: ribosomal RNA, 482 nt
Filed under: uncultured bacterium
Lineage: Bacteria
Description: partial 16S ribosomal RNA
Rfam family: Bacterial small subunit ribosomal RNA
Source: RNAcentral